UCGGGAAUUUUGGGCAAUGGGCGCAAGCCUGAUCCAGCCAUACCGCGUGAGUGAAGAAGGCCUUCGGGUUGUAAAGCUCUUUCAGACGGAAAGAAACGGUUACGGCUAAUACCCGUGACUAAUGACGGUACCGUAAGAAGAAGCACCGGCUAACUACGUGCCAGCAGCCGCGGUAAUACGUAGGGUGCGAGCGUUAAUCGGAAUUACUGGGCGUAAAGCGUGCGCAGGCGGUUUGGUAAGACAGAUGUGAAAUCCCCGGGCUUAACUUGGGAACUGCAUUUGUGACUGCCAGACUAGAGUGUAGCAGAGGGGGGUAGAAUUCCACGUGUAGCAGUGAAAUGCGUAGAUAUGUGGAGGAAUACCGAUGGCGAAGGCAGCCCCCUGGGCUAACACUGACGCUCAUGCACGAAAGCGUGGGGAGCAAACAGGAUUAGAUACCCCGGUAGUCCCUGAGCGGGCUGGCAAGGCGCAU
This 472-nucleotide ribosomal RNA is filed under the name uncultured bacterium. RNAcentral describes it as "bacterial SSU rRNA". It matches the Rfam family "Bacterial small subunit ribosomal RNA", at positions 355 to 825 of the family's 1533-position model. The record is from RNAcentral.